RNAcentral lists this ribosomal RNA (420 nucleotides) under uncultured bacterium. Its description in RNAcentral is "bacterial SSU rRNA". It matches the Rfam family "Bacterial small subunit ribosomal RNA", at positions 28 to 449 of the family's 1533-position model. The record is from RNAcentral.
GACGAACGCUGGCGGCGUGCUUAACACAUGCAAGUCGAACGAUGAAGUUCCUUCGGGGAUGGAUUAGUGGCGAACGGGUGAGGAACACGUGAAGAAUCUGCCCUCCACUUUGGGAUAACUCCGGGAAACCGGGGCUAAUACCGAAUAUUGAAACAUAAGCGGCAUCGCUGAGUUUUGAAAGAAUUUCGGUGGAGGAUGACUUCGCGGCCUAUCAGCUUGUUGGUGAGGUAAUGGCUCACCAAGGCAACGACGGGUAGCCGGCCUGAGAGGGCGACCGGCCACACUGGGACUGAGACACGGCCCAGACUCCUACGGGAGGCAGCAGUGGGGAAUAUUGGGCAAUGGACGCAAGUCUGACCCAGCGACGCCGCGUGCGGGAUGAAGGCCUUCGGGUUGUAAACCGCUUUCAGCAGGGAAGAA